RNAcentral lists this small nuclear RNA (131 nucleotides) under Neogale vison (American mink). Its description in RNAcentral is "Neovison vison (American mink) U4 spliceosomal RNA (ENSNVIG00000001770.1)". The stretch from base 1 to 80 matches the Rfam family "U4 spliceosomal RNA". Rfam says of the family: U4 small nuclear RNA (U4 snRNA) is a component of the major U2-dependent spliceosome. The structure of U4 snRNA from yeast and human has been reported. U4 snRNA presents a k-turn RNA motif in the 5p-SL related to recognition of Snu13 protein. Lineage: Eukaryota; Metazoa; Chordata; Mammalia; Carnivora; Mustelidae. The record is from RNAcentral.
AGCUUUGUGCAGUGGCAGUAUCAUAGCCAAUGAGGUUUAUCCGAGGCGGGAUGAUUGCUAAUUGAAAAACAGAACUACCUUAUGAUCUAGCAAUUGCACUACUAGGUAUUUGCCCAAAGGAUACAAAAAUA